Molecule: transfer RNA, 73 nt
Filed under: Patiria miniata (bat star)
Lineage: Eukaryota; Metazoa; Echinodermata; Asteroidea; Valvatida; Asterinidae
Description: tRNA-Val
Rfam family: tRNA
About the family: Transfer RNA (tRNA) molecules are approximately 80 nucleotides in length. Their secondary structure includes four short double-helical elements and three loops (D, anti-codon, and T loops).
Source: Rfam by way of RNAcentral
GGCUGGAUAGCUCAGUUGGUAGAGCACCGGAACGACAAUCCGGAGGCCGCAGGUUCAAACCCCACUCCAGUCC